CAGAAGUGAGCACCGCCAUGUUCUUGGGUAGUAAAGUGGGAGAAUUUUACUCAUCAACAAUGUAGCGAAAAUUGGAUUGUUGAAUUUAAAAAUGCUUUUUUUGGAGUUUAAUUGGACAAUCUUUGCCACUUUAAUAAUUAUAUUAAAGAAAAGGUCUUUGUGUGAGAACUUUUCGAUCAUUGCACAACCAAAUGCGUCUCCAACCAAGUUACAAGGGUUACAAAUUUUCUAUACUCGCAAUCGUGGUGGUUUUGGAAACAGGAUUAAGGAGAACGAUAAUUGUGGGGCGUUAUAAAUCAACAAGAGCUAUACUUUGCAAGUUACAGUCCAGCCUAGAUACAAUGAUAAGAGUUUUGAAGUCUACAUGGCACAAACACCAUCUCAUCCCAGAAUUUAUAUGAACUACAAACUGAGCUCUUAAAUGACAAGAAACAAAAGAGUAUUUUGGUUUAUGUUUGCAAAUAUGUGAACUUCUCGUAAAUUUAUCAUUAUACAUUUACUCUGCAUAAAAAAUAUUGCCGUAGAGCUAACAAGGCGUGAAAAAAAAUAUUUCUUUUUGUCAUUAAUAUAAGAUAGACAAAGUUUUUUGACAUUGUGCAUCCAUAGAUAGUAUAGCCAAUCAUAAGAAUAUAUAUAAGUUUUUCUAAAAUGAUGAAAAAAACUUGACAAUUCCAAGACCCAAAGAACAAAGUAAAAGUGCAGCCUUUUAGAUUAUUAAUUUUUAUUUAAAUGAUUCAUUUUAACUUAAAUUAUUAUACUUUGUUAGUUAUUUCGAGCACGCAAUGCAAACAAUUUUUCGAUCAAAUAUUGAACAUGCAAAACAGUCUAUAGCAUUUUUCUUUCAAGCUUCCUGGUUUAACUGCAUAUGUUUAAAUGACAGAGAGUGACAACUAGAGGUUUAUUACUUCUUCAUUUUAAGAGUGCAAGCUGUAGCUGUAACUGCAACGACGGAGGAAGCUCUUGUCCAAAAACGCAAUACUACACAAGCGCAAAGAGAUUGGUAAAACAAUGCGUAUUUAAAAGCAUAAACGACGAUAUAGACGUCGGGGUACUUAUUAAACUCUCUUGUGAUUUCAACAAAGAAAAAACAAAUACUUCACUACGAGUGACAUUUAGCGGUGAUAUGAGAGUGAUUGGUUGUUCUUCUGGAUGUUGUCGUCGCUGGUUUAUAACAAUCAACGGUAAGAGAGGCCUGAGAAGGAUGUACAAUAGAAUAAGACCAAGAAUUCUAGAUAAUGUCAUGCAGGCAGUUUGGACUUAUUCAAGUAGAACACGUGUUUUUAAAAA
Molecule: long non-coding RNA, 1287 nt
Organism: Xenia sp. Carnegie-2017
Lineage: Eukaryota; Metazoa; Cnidaria; Anthozoa; Malacalcyonacea; Xeniidae
Exons: 3
Source: RefSeq, a predicted model, not a curated record